Molecule: unclassified non-coding RNA, 201 nt
Filed under: Hevea brasiliensis (rubber tree)
Lineage: Eukaryota; Viridiplantae; Streptophyta; Magnoliopsida; Malpighiales; Euphorbiaceae
Source: RNAcentral
GCCUCGCCGCGCCGUCCGACGUGAUCGACCUCGCCAGGAUUCCGGCACUGAUCGGCAUCGAUUUCGGCAGCGACAGCGUCACCAUCAAGGCGGCGACGACGCAUUACGACGUCGCCACCAAUACGGCCUUGCAGAAGGCGCUUCCCGCGCUGGCGGCGCUGGCCGGCGUGAUCGGCGAUCCGGCCGUGCGCUAUCGCGGCA